RNAcentral lists this non-coding RNA (46 nucleotides) under Trichobilharzia regenti. The record is from RNAcentral. Lineage: Eukaryota; Metazoa; Platyhelminthes; Trematoda; Strigeidida; Schistosomatidae.
GUACUGACGAAGAGUCCCAAAAUAGGGCGAAACAUUGGUCCAGUAC